GCGCCCGAGCUCUCUCAAAGUUAAAGUUGGAGCUCUUGGGCUCGACUAGUAUUUUGACUGAAAGUCAAAGAUAUAUAGAUUUGAUUUGAUUUAAAAAGUCAACCGGUUAUUGAUUAACUGGUCUGAAGUUUAAUGAAUGAUUCUUAAUUUCAGUGAAGAGGAGUGAUGCAUAGAGAAGCUGCAGAGAAAUGGUUGUUGGUGGUACAGAGAUUGGACCAGAAUGGUGUGAGGUAAACUUUCAAGUACCAAUACAAAAAGAUGAAAACUUGGUAAGACCAUAUGGUUUAUUUUCUAGAAUUCAAGAUUGUAUUGGUGCAUCCAUCACAUGGCCCUAUCCAUUCAUCUCGGUAGUCCAUGAGGAUUGAGGACGCAUAAUGACUCAAGAUUUUAUGCUUCUUAUUUCUUUAAUUGCUUUUAAUUUGUUUGUUAAAUGUUAAGACUUU
Long non-coding RNA from Helianthus annuus (common sunflower), 443 nucleotides. RefSeq lists it as uncharacterized. The record is from RefSeq and is a predicted model, not a curated record. Lineage: Eukaryota; Viridiplantae; Streptophyta; Magnoliopsida; Asterales; Asteraceae. The transcript is spliced from 3 exons.